UAAAAUCUAAAGUAUUAAACUGCGAGUCUACCAAUGGAAAGUUACUCGACACCAUUAAUCUUCCUUCUCAGACUUCACUGAUGUUCCACUGAGAGAUGACCAGCGAGAUUACCUCUGCAAAGUUGCUGAUGGGGUGAAUCCAGUGACUGGGAAUGCAACGAGAGACUCGUUGCUCUGCAAUUGAUACAGGCUCUUCUCCUCUGCUGUACGUAUUGUUGAACAUUUGGCUAGUUUCUAUUUUUCUAUCUUUAACUAUGUAACAGAGAAAUGCUAAAUAUAUUAUUUUGGAGUCGGUUGUUUGUCUUUUUAUUUACUUAUUUAUUUUUUGUUUCAUAUGGUUUGAUCUGUUACAAUAAUUUGAAAUAAGUCUGGUCAGGAUUUUACU
Dendrobium catenatum is the source of this 385-nucleotide long non-coding RNA. RefSeq lists it as uncharacterized. Lineage: Eukaryota; Viridiplantae; Streptophyta; Magnoliopsida; Asparagales; Orchidaceae. The record is from RefSeq and is a predicted model, not a curated record. The transcript has 2 exons.